GAACAAUCUCGAAUGAUAUGUUGCAAGCACAUACCUCAUCAACAUGUCAAAUGGGCCCCACACAAAAACCUUUCUCUCCCUCAUUUUAUUUCUAAAAAAACACUUGGUUUAUUUUUCGCCGUCACCACUGACAAAGAAAGAAAAUGCAUUUUCAUCAUCCAUAAUAAAGCUAGCAGCUCUAUCUUUCUCAUAACCAAAAGAUGCCCAAUACCAAAAUCUAAACAACACACACACACACACACACACACAAAAAAAAAAAAAAAAAAAAAAAAAUUCACUCCAAUUUGGUGAUGCUUGGAGUAUUGUGUGCACGUCCUAAGCCUUGGCUAUUUGCAUCACUCUGCUUAUCACACGCCCACGGCUCAACGCCGUGUGCAUAUAGCAGAGUUAUUACUAGUGCUGCAACAACAAGAUCGUCUCCAUCAUCAUCGUCAUCUGUUUUAUUACAACAACAGUAUCAGCAACAACAUAGGAGGCAUCAUUCUAGUCAUUGUCGUAUUGGUGCAUCAUCACUGUCUUCGAUUUGGCAUGUGAUUCUUCCUGCAGGAAGGAGAAAUAAGAAGGAGAUUAAUAAGAGGAAUAAUAAUAAUACGGUGUUUCAUAAUCAUCAUUAUGAGCUUGAUAAAAAAGGUGAAGGGUCUUGGAAUGUUGCGUGGGAUUCUAGACCUGCGAGGUGGUUGCAUAAUCCUGAUUCAGCUUGGUUAUUGUUUGGUGUUUGUUCUUGUUUAGCAACGCCAGUGCCAGCUCUUGAUCUACCAGAUGUGAAUUGUGAUGCAGCUGUACCAAUUGAGAAAAAGUCCAUAGAUGAGAGUGAUCAAAACUCUGCCAACUAUAAAGUCACUGGGGUACCGGCGGAUGGGAGAUGUCUAUUCAGAGCAAUAGCACAUAUGACUUGUUUAAGAAAUGGGGAGGAAGCACCUGAUGAAAAUCGACAGAGAGAACUUGCUGAUGAAUUAAGAGCUCAGGUUGUUGACGAGCUGUUAAAGAGGCGAAAAGAAGCCGAAUGGUUUAUUGAAGGGGAUUUUGAUGCAUACGUAGAACGAAUUGAAAAGCCGUAUGUGUGGGGAGGAGAACCAGAGCUACUAAUGGCUGCUCAUGUUCUCAAGAACGUGCAGAAGUGAAGGUGAUCAACUAAUAUUGGACGGAGGGAGUCCUCAAUUUCUGUCUAUAUGGUAGAUAGAAGCACAGGAAGUUUGAUAAACAUAUCAAAUUAUGGAGAAGAAUAUAGGAAGGAGGGAGAAAGUCCGAUUAAUGUAUUGUUUCAUGGUUAUGGUCACUAUGACAUAUUGGAGACAAUUUCAGACAAGGUUCACCAGAAGUUAGAAGAAUAAAGCAGGGUUAUGAUGCCCUUAGGGACAUAGUCUUGAUUAAAUUUUCAUAAAAAAGGUAGUUAGCAACUUCGGUCAACUCAGUGAUAAGAAGUUCAGCUAUCCCGAUAACAAACAUCUUCUUUCGGGUCGAGUCAAUUUGUUUGGACGAUCUUUUCUCUAAAACAGAAUCGGGACCUUGUUCAGGAGGGAGCUGUUGACUAGUUAAGCUUCUCUCUCGAACUAACAUCUCCCGAACAGUUCCUUUGUCUUUAGCCUAUAGCCUUAGUGAACUCUGUAUAUCCAGGGACGGAGUUAGGUGUAUGCAAGGGUGUUCAAUUGAAACCCACUCAAGGGAAGGUUCUUGUGUACUGUCACAGGUGGUUCAAAAAUUACUUUUGUUUACAAUUUUUAAUCUUAGGCAUGGCGUUCUACAUUUUUCGAUUCCCCUUGUUAGAAUUCCUGGCUCCAUCGCUGCCUAUAUGUGACUGCUUGAAAUUUCAGUUAAGCUUGUGUUUCUUGAUUGGCAUGAGUUCCAUCUUUAUCUCCUUCUCAUCUGAGUUCAGCAGUUUCUCUCGACUUCAUGGAAUCGAAUCAUUUUGCUAGGCAUAGAGGCCUUUGAUUUUCUUUAGAAGAUUAAUCUUAAUUCCCCCAAAGAUGCUGUUUUUUGUUGUUGAACUGUUUGUUCUGUAUUUUGCUGAUUAAAAAAAAAUGUCCGGAGGAAUUGGAGUCGUCCCAAAAAAUGAAGUUUGAAACAGCAGACCUUUUAAUUCUGACUCUUGAUAUUUCUUCAAAAACAUGUCGCUAGAAGUCUUGGUUUUGAGCCCUGUUGAAUCCGGAAUGUCUUUUUCAGGGAGCGUUUUACCUCUCACCGUAAGACUUCCUGGCCCCGAUAGGAGUAUUGGGCACCGGUUUAUAAGCCAGCAACACAGAAAGAUCUACUUGCUGUUGCAUUUCUACAUUUGCUUGAAUGGCUGCUAUAAUUUUGAUUUCGUGUUUAAGUAUGUGAGAAAUAUAAGAGAAGAAUAUUAUUGACUUAUUGUAACAGCAUUGUUAAUUUAUGGACACGGCAUUUCAAUCUUUUUUCAA
RNA transcript from Capsicum annuum, 2396 nucleotides. RefSeq lists it as uncharacterized. The record is from RefSeq and is a predicted model, not a curated record. NCBI's taxonomy places the organism in Eukaryota, Viridiplantae, Streptophyta, Magnoliopsida, Solanales, Solanaceae. The transcript has 7 exons.